Molecule: long non-coding RNA, 1227 nt
Filed under: Salmo salar (Atlantic salmon)
Lineage: Eukaryota; Metazoa; Chordata; Actinopteri; Salmoniformes; Salmonidae
Description: lncRNA (ENSSSAG00000115478.1)
Source: RNAcentral
AUAACCCAUGGUAAUAUGUCUCUAUACCCAACACACAGCCCACUAUAACCCAUGGUAAUAUGUCUCUAUACCUGACACACAGCCCACUAAAACCCAUGGUAAUAUGUCUCUAUACCUAACACACAGCCCACUAUAACCCAUGGUAAUAUGUCUCUAUACCUAACACACAGCCCACUAUAACCCAUGGUAAUAUGGCUCUAUACCCAACACACAGCCCACUAUAACCCAUUGUAAUAUGUCUCUAUACCCAACACACAGCCCACUAUAACCAAUGGUAAUAUGUCUCUAUACCUGACACACAGCCCACUAUAACCCAUGGUAAUAUGUCUCUAUACCUAACACACAGCCCACUAUAACCCAUGGUAAUAUGUCUCUAUACCUAACACACAGCCCACUAUAACCCAUGGUAAUAUGUCUCUAUACCCAACACACAGCCCACUAUAACCCAUGGUAAUAUGUCUCUAUACCCAAUACACAGCUCACUAUAACCCAUGGUAAUAUGUCUCUAUACCUAAUACACAGCCCACUAUAACCCAUGGUAAUACGUCUCUAUACCUAACACACAGGCCACUAUAACCCAUGGUAAAAUGUCUCUAUACCUAACACACAGCCCACUAUAACCCAUGUUAAUAUGUCUUUAUUCAUGACUCAAAGCCCACUAUAACCCAUGUUAAUAUGUGUCUAUACACUACACAAAGCCCACUAUAACCCAUGGUAAUAUGUCUCUAUACCUAACACACAGCCCACUAUAACCCAUGGUAAUAUGUCUCUAUACCUAACACACAGCCCACUAUAACCCAUGGUAAUAUGUCUCUAUACCCAACACACAGCCCACUAUAACCCAUGGUAAUAUGUCUCUAUACCCAACACACAGCCCACUAUAACCCAUGGUAAUAUGUCACUAUACCUAACACACAGCCCACUAUAACCCAUGGUAAUAUGUCUCUAUACCCAACACACAGCCCACUAUAACCCAUGGUAAUAUGUCUCUAUACCCAACACACAGCCCACUAUAACCCAUGGUAAUAUGUCUCUAUACCCAACACACAGCCCACUAUAACCCAUGGUAAUACGUCUCUAUACCCGACACACAGCCCACUAUAACCCAUGGUAAUAUGUCUCUAUACCCAACACACAGCCCACUAUAACCCAUGGUAAUAUGUCUCUAUACCUGACACACAGCACACUAUAACCCAUGUUAAUUUGUCUCUAUACCCGACACAAAGC